RNAcentral lists this ribosomal RNA (490 nucleotides) under uncultured bacterium. RNAcentral describes it as "partial 16S ribosomal RNA". The record is from RNAcentral.
GUAGUUAGCCGUGGCUUCCUCCACGGGUACCGUCAUUAUCGUCCCCUUCAACAGAAGUUUACAACCCGAAGGCCUUCUUCCUUCACGCGGCGUUGCUGGGUCAGGGUUUCCCCCAUUGCCCAAUAUUCCUCCCUGCUGCCUCCCGUAGGAGUCUGGACCGUCUCUCAGUUCCAGUGUGUCCGUUCAGCCUCUCAGCCCGGAUACCUAUCAUCGUCUUGGUGAGCCGUUACCUCGCCAACUAACUAAUAGGACGCGAACUCCUCUCUCACCGGAUUGCUCCUUUGACCCCUUCGCCAUGUGGCAAUGUGGUCUUAUGCGGUAUUAGCACACGUUUCCAUGUGUUAUCCCCCUGUCAGAGGUGGAUUGUUCACGCGUUACUCACCCGUCCGCUACUAUCUGACUUCCAGCCGAAGCCUUCCGUCUUCCCGUUCAACUUGCAUGGGUUAGGCACGCCGCCAGCGUUCGUCCUGAGCCACGGAUCAAACUCUGA